Molecule: non-coding RNA, 548 nt
Organism: Arachis ipaensis
Lineage: Eukaryota; Viridiplantae; Streptophyta; Magnoliopsida; Fabales; Fabaceae
Source: RefSeq, a predicted model, not a curated record
UCAGAUCUUAGUUCUCUUUUCUCUCUCCAAACACAAAACCCUAUCGCAGCCACCUUCAAGCUCCAGAACGCGUGCCAGCCCCCGCCACUGUCGCCACCGACAAUGACAACCCUCUCGAAGGUCUGCUCGGCCCUCUCGAAGGUCAAGCCAGUCAUCAUCGUCGGCCCUGAGUUGCAGAUUUUUUGUUUUUGUUAAGUUUGGUUCGCUUAUGGUUCUCACCAGCGUGCUUCAACUCCGUCGUGGACUUCUCUCAUCGUCGUCGCUCACGCACGUUCACUUCUCAUCGGCGUUUUUCUGCUUCGUCUCUGUUCUCUCUCUCUUUCUCGUAGCUCAGUCACUGUUACCGUUGAUUUUGGAUUCCGAUCCACUUAUUAAGCCAUGGCAAAUCCCUCACCCGGUUCAAUCAACGAUGGCAUUUGCAGACAUAUUCCUGGGUUGAACUGCAUAUUUUUUCUUUUGUUAAUCUCCUUAUAUGUUGUAUUGUGUUGUGUUCUUUCUUACUAGCAUAAAGUCACUCUUGUUAUAUGGUGGAAAUGUCUAGAAUGAGG